GACGGAGGGUGCAAACGUUGUUCGGAAUCACUGGGCAUAAAGAGCACGUAGGCUGCGCGCUAAGUCAGGUGUGAAAUCCCCCGGCUCAACCGGGGAACUGCACCUGAUACUGGCGUGCUCGAGGACGGUAGGGGUGAGUGGAACUCCAGGUGGAGCGGUGAAAUGCGUAGAUAUCUGGAGGAACACCGGUGGCGAAAGCGGCUCACUGGACCGUCUCUGACGCUGAGGUGCGAAAGCUAGGGUAGCAAUCGGG
Molecule: ribosomal RNA, 253 nt
Filed under: uncultured bacterium
Lineage: Bacteria
Description: partial 16S ribosomal RNA
Rfam family: Bacterial small subunit ribosomal RNA
Source: RNAcentral